CUGGCUCAGGAUGAACGCUGGCGGUAUGCUUAACACAUGCAAGUCGAACGGUCACUUCGGUGAUAGUGGCGGACGGGUGAGUAACGCGUGAGAAUCUGUCUUCAGGUCGGGGACAACAGUUAGAAAUGACUGCUAAUACCGGAUGUGCCGAAAGGUGAAAGAUUUAUUGCCUGAAAAAGAGCUCGCGUCAGAUUAGCUAGUAGGUGGUGUAAGAGACUACCUAGGCUCCGAUCUGUAGCUGGUCUGAGAGGACGAUCAGCCACACUGGAACUGAGACACGGUCCAGACUCCUACGGGAGGCAGCAGUGGGGAAUUUUCCGCAAUGGGCGAAAGCCUGACGGAGCAAUACCGCGUGAGGGACGAAGGCUUUUGGGUCGUAAACCUCUUUUCUCAAGGAAGAUUAAGACGGUACUUGAGGAAUAAGCAUCGGCUAACUCUGUGCCAGCAGCCGCGGUAAUACAGAGGAUGCAAGCGUUAUCCGGAAUGAUUGGGCGUAAAGCGUCCGCAGGUGGUUUUAUAAGUCUGCUGUUAAAGCGUUAGGCUCAACCUAAUAAGGGCAGUGGAAACUAUAAGACUAGAGUAUGUUAGGGGUAGAGGGAAUUCCCAGUGUAGCGGUGAAAUGCGUAGAGAUUGGGAAGAACACCGGUGGCGAAAGCGCUCUGCUAGGACAAUACUGACACUGAGGGACGAAAGCUAGGGGAGCGAAUGGGAUUAGAUACCCCAGUAGUCCUAGCCGUAAACGAUGGAUACUAGGCGUUGCCCGUAUCGACCCGGGCAUUGUCGUAGCUAACGCGUUAAGUAUCCCGCCUGGGGAGUACGCACGCAAGUGUGAAACUCAAAGGAAUUGACGGGGGCCCGCACAAGCGGUGGAGUAUGUGGUUUAAUUCGAUGCAACGCGAAGAACCUUACCAGGACUUGACAUGUCGCGAACCCUGCUGAAAGGUGGGGGUGCCUUCGGGAGCGCGAACACAGGUGGUGCAUGGCUGUCGUCAGCUCGUGUCGUGAGGUGUCGGGUUAAGUCCCGCAACGAGCGCAACCCUCGUUUUUAGUUGCCAUCAUUAAGUUGGGCACUCUAGAGAGACUGCCGGUGACAAACCGGAGGAAGGUGGGGAUGACGUCAAGUCAGCAUGCCCCUUACGUCCUGGGCUACACACGUACUACAAUGCUACGAACAAAGGGCAGCUAGUUAGCAAUAACAUGCAAAUCUCAGAAAUCGUAGCUCAGUUCAGAUUGAAGGCUGCAACUCGCCUUCAUGAAGUCGGAAUCGCUAGUAAUUGCAGGUCAGCAUACUGCAGUGAAUUCGUUCCCGGGCCUUGUACACACCGCCCGUCACACCAUGGAAGCUGGUCACGCCCGAAGUAGUUA
Molecule: ribosomal RNA, 1365 nt
Filed under: Dulcicalothrix desertica PCC 7102
Lineage: Bacteria; Bacillati; Cyanobacteriota; Cyanophyceae; Nostocales; Calotrichaceae
Description: bacterial SSU rRNA
Rfam family: Bacterial small subunit ribosomal RNA
Source: RNAcentral